AACUGUUGUAAGGAGGCGCAACGCCAACGAGUCGGUGACUAUUGUUUAAUUUCCUUUUUCUAUAUAAAAUAUAUAUAACUGUCGUUUUUUAAGUUCCGAUCCUUUCCCCACAGGUCUUAUAACCCCAAAAAUAGAUUAUGUCCACUGCUAAUUCAAUCAACCAGCUACAUCUAACUAGGGGCGAAGUUGGAAUUUACAAAAGAAGGGAUCAAACUAAUAAUUUAAGGAAUAAUAUAUAAUUAUUUUUCAAUUUUAUCCUUAAUAUAAUAAUGUGAAAUAAAUGCUAAUUUAAUCAAAUUAUUAUUGACUUUAUUAUAAUUUAGAGUAAUUAAAAGACGUUUACAUUGCAGAUGUUACAUAUAUUCUUUGUAUCAUGAAAGGAAAAGGGUUAAAUCCCAAAAUUAAAAAGACAACCCAUCCAAGAAUAACUAAAAAAUUAAUAAUAAAUAUGUGCAAAAUGUCAUAAAAUCACUAAUACUAACUGUAAGUUUAAAAAUAUACUAAAAAAAAAAAAAAAAAUAAGUUUAAUCCAAGUGAUUUUCAUCCUGCGCAUUAUCCAAGUGAUUCUACAAUUGCCAAUCAAAAUCUCCCAGAAGAAAACUUAACUGACGCCCCAAAAC
Non-coding RNA from Jatropha curcas, 620 nucleotides. NCBI's taxonomy places the organism in Eukaryota, Viridiplantae, Streptophyta, Magnoliopsida, Malpighiales, Euphorbiaceae. The record is from RefSeq and is a predicted model, not a curated record.